RNAcentral lists this long non-coding RNA (726 nucleotides) under Manihot esculenta (cassava). RNAcentral describes it as "long non-coding RNA (MESC_LNC011421)". Lineage: Eukaryota; Viridiplantae; Streptophyta; Magnoliopsida; Malpighiales; Euphorbiaceae. The record is from RNAcentral.
UUCUGGUUAUCAACAAUUUACAACUGCAGAAAGUGGUGAAAGGAUCGAAUCCACAGGGAAUUGAAGACUUACCUAUUUUCCUUAUCAAGACCAAUAAAAUAAACUGAAACAAAAAUAAACUGCAAAAGAAGAAAACUGAAAACGAGAUAAACUGAAAUGAGAUAAAACUGAAACGAGAUAAAACUGAAAUAAGAUAAAACUGAAACGAGAUAAAACUGAAAACGAGAUAAACUGAAACGAGAUAAAACUAAAAUGAGAUAAAACUGAAAGAGAAAUAAACAGAAAGCAAAAUAAACUAAAACGAGAUAAAACUGAAACCAACUAAACUGUAAGUAAAAUGGGGGGUUUUGAGAUUGAUUUAAUUAAUCUAAAACUGAAAGCAAUAAAAAUAAGGCAAAUAAUAAAAAUAAAGAGAAAUAAAUAAUAAGAAAGAUCUAAUUGAAGAAUGGAUCCACUUUAGUUGUCGGGAUUGAUCAUUGACACUUAGUUUCCUUUGGGUUGAUUCAAUAGAUUAGUUAUGGAGAUGGAAAACGCUUCUCACCACCAUUAUCUCUCCUUAUGAUUAAACCAAUUAGGGAACGUCCUCUAAUUAAUUACUAAUUAACAAAUUGCCAAGGAACAUCCUUGGGCCUUAGGCAUCAAAACAAUUGUCAAUUGCAUUAAGAAAUAGAGAGAUCCAAUCCUAGCUACCCAAACAUAUGGAGAUAACGCUAGAUCAUACAAUUU